GACCCCGAGUGCCCGUAAAAUCGGGCUGUUAACCUGUUUAAAAAGCACGUGGAGAAAGGGCCGGGCAAGACCGGUGCCAGCCGCCGCGGUAAUACCGGCGGCUCGAGUGGUGGCCACUAUUACUGGGCUUAAAGCGUCCGUAGCUGGAUUGUUAAGUCUCUUGGGAAAUCUACCGGCUUAACCGAUAGGCGUUCAAGGGAUACUGGCAAUCUAGGGACCGGGAGAGGUGAGAGGUACUCCAGGGGUAGGAGUGAAAUCCUGUAAUCCUUGGGGGACCACCUGUGGCGAAGGCGUCUCACCAGAACGGCUCCGACAGUGAGGGACGAAAGCUGGGGGAGCAAACCGGAUUAGAUACCCGGGUAGUCCCAGCUGUAAACGAUGCGCGUUAGGUGUAUCGGUGACCA
This 404-nucleotide ribosomal RNA is filed under the name uncultured archaeon. Its description in RNAcentral is "bacterial SSU rRNA". It matches the Rfam family "Archaeal small subunit ribosomal RNA", at positions 377 to 785 of the family's 1478-position model. The record is from RNAcentral.